UGCAGUCGAACGAUGAAGCCCAGCUUGCUGGGUGGAUUAGUGGCGAACGGGUGAGUAACACGUGAGUAACCUGCCCUUAACUCUGGGAUAAGCCUGGGAAACUGGGUCUAAUACCGGAUAGGAGCGCCUACCGCAUGGUGGGUGUUGGAAAGAUUUAUCGGUUUUGGAUGGACUCGCGGCCUAUCAGCUUGUUGGUGAGGUAAUGGCUCACCAAGGCGACGACGGGUAGCCGGCCUGAGAGGGUGACCGGCCACACUGGGACUGAGACACGGCCCAGACUCCUACGGGAGGCAGCAGUGGGGAAUAUUGCACAAUGGGCGAAAGCCUGAUGCAGCGACGCCGCGUGAGGGAUGACGGCCUUCGGGUUGUAAACCUCUUUCAGUAGGGAAGAAGCGAAAGUGACGGUACCUGCAGAAGAAGCACCGGCUAACUACGUGCCAGCAGCCGCGGUAAUACGUAGGGUGCGAGCGUUAUCCGGAAUUAUUGGGCGUAAAGAGCUCGUAGGCGGUUUGUCGCUUCUGUCGUGAAAGUCCGGGGCUUAACCCCGGAUUUGCGGUGGGUACGGGCAGACUAGAUUCAGUAGGGGAGACUGGAAUUCCUGGUGUAGCGGUGGAAUGCGCAGAUAUCAGGAGGAACACCGAUGGCGAAGGCAGGUCUCUGGGCUGUAACUGACGCUGAGGAGCGAAAGCAUGGGGAGCGAACAGGAUUAGAUACCCUGGUAGUCCAUGCCGUAAACGUUGGGCACUAGGUGUGGGGACCAUUCCACGGUUUCCGCGCCGCAGCUAACGCAUUAAGUGCCCCGCCUGGGGAGUACGGCCGCAAGGCUAAAACUCAAAGGAAUUGACGGGGGCCCGCACAAGCGGCGGAGCAUGCGGAUUAAUUCGAUGCAACGCGAAGAACCUUACCAAGGCUUGACAUGUUCUCGAUCGCCGUAGAGAUACGGUUUCCCCUUUGGGGCGGGUUCACAGGUGGUGCAUGGUUGUCGUCAGCUCGUGUCGUGAGAUGUUGGGUUAAGUCCCGCAACGAGCGCAACCCUCGUUCCAUGUUGCCAGCACGUAAUGGUGGGGACUCAUGGGAGACUGCCGGGGUCAACUCGGAGGAAGGUGAGGACGACGUCAAAUCAUCAUGCCCCUUAUGUCUUGGGCUUCACGCAUGCUACAAUGGCCGGUACAAUGGGUUGCGAUACUGUGAGGUGGAGCUAAUCCCAAAAAGCCGGUCUCAGUUCGGAUUGGGGUCUGCAACUCGACCCCAUGAAGUGGGAGUCGCUAGUAAUCGCAGAUCAGCAACGCUGCGGUGAAUACGUUCCCGGGCCUUGUACACACCGCCCGUCAAGUCACGAAAGUUGGUAACACCCGAAGCCGGUGGCCUAACCCUUGUG
This is a ribosomal RNA of 1378 nucleotides. It matches the Rfam family "Bacterial small subunit ribosomal RNA".